RNAcentral lists this ribosomal RNA (506 nucleotides) under uncultured bacterium. Its description in RNAcentral is "partial 16S ribosomal RNA". It matches the Rfam family "Bacterial small subunit ribosomal RNA", at positions 29 to 523 of the family's 1533-position model. The record is from RNAcentral.
AGUGAACGCUGGCGGUAGGCCUAACACAUGCAAGUCGAACGGCAGCACAGAGGAGCUUGCUCCUUGGGUGGCGAGUGGCGGACGGGUGAGGAAUACAUCGGAAUCUACUCUGUCGUGGGGGAUAACGUAGGGAAACUUACGCUAAUACCGCAUACGACCUACGGGUGAAAGCAGGGGACCUUCGGGCCUUGCGCGAUUGAAUGAGCCGAUGUCGGAUUAGCUAGUUGGCGGGGUAAAGGCCCACCAAGGCGACGAUCCGUAGCUGGUCUGAGAGGAUAAGCCACCACCCUGGAAGUGAGACACGGACCGGAGUCUUACAGGAGGCAGCAGUGGGGAAUAUUGGACGAUGGGCGCAAGCCUGAUCCGGCCAUACCGCGUGGGUGAAGAAGGCCUUCGGGUUGUAAAGCCCUUUUGUGGGGAAAGAAAUCCAUCUGGUUAAUACCCGGGUGGGAUGACGGUACCCAAAGAAUAAGCACCGGCUAACUUCGUGCCAGCCGCCGCCGUAA